GUCAGCUCGUGUCGUGAGAUGUUGGGUUAAGUCCCGCAACGAGCGCAACCCUUACUGUUAGUUGCUACGCAAGAGCACUCUAACAGGACUGCCGUUGACAAAACGGAGGAAGGUGGGGAUGACGUCAAAUCAUCAUGCCCCUUACGCCCUGGGCCACACACGUACUACAAUGGCGCAAACAGAGGGGAGCAAAACCGCGAGGUAGAGCAAAUCCCAAAAACGCGUCCCAGUUCAGAUUGCAGGCUGCAACUCGCCUGCAUGAAGUUGGAAUUGCUAGUAAUCGCGGAUCAGAAUGCCGCGGUGAAUACGUUCCCGGGA
Molecule: ribosomal RNA, 318 nt
Filed under: uncultured bacterium
Lineage: Bacteria
Description: bacterial SSU rRNA
Rfam family: Bacterial small subunit ribosomal RNA
Source: RNAcentral